GCCGAUGUGGUGAAAUUGGUAGACACGCUACGUUCAGGGCGUAGUGGGGGUAUCCCCGUGGGGGUUCGAGUCCCUCCAUCGGCACCA
RNAcentral lists this transfer RNA (87 nucleotides) under Gemmatimonadota bacterium. RNAcentral describes it as "Gemmatimonadetes bacterium tRNA-Leu". It matches the Rfam family "tRNA". Rfam says of the family: Transfer RNA (tRNA) molecules are approximately 80 nucleotides in length. Their secondary structure includes four short double-helical elements and three loops (D, anti-codon, and T loops). The record is from RNAcentral. Lineage: Bacteria; Pseudomonadati; Gemmatimonadota.